CAGAAAACGACUGUUGAAGACGGUCGCUUAACUAUUGUAUAAAGUUUUUUUCGUGUUUUGUUUCUCAUUUAGAUAUCCACACAACCGACUGCAGCUGUGUUCGGGAACUCAAAAAUUUGUGCAAAUUUGCACAAAAUUUUUACUGGAAGUCGUUCGCGUACUUUAUUUGCCCAGCAGAAGAGAGAGCGAGAGAGGGCAAAUUUUGACAAUUCGAAAAUAGAGAACUUGCAAAUUUCUACUGGGACUUUUUUUACCAGCAGAAAUUUGCAAGUUUGAACAGAUGUUUUGUAAAGGUCAGCUGUUUUAUGAAAAGCAGCCGUUACAUGAAAAUACAAAAGUUAACACCAAAAUACAACAAACAGUCAGAGGCAGAUUCAAGGCAGCAGCUAUUGUUCAGGUUCAGAAAAUUCGCCAAAUGAAGUUGUAAUUUCACCUCAAGUCGGUUGUCCUACAUUAGAAGGCAAGUGCAAAAUUUGCGGAAUUAUUUGGAAAUCUUGAAAAAUUAAAACAUUGCAUCCUUACAGAUACCAAGAAAAGAGCAAUGAUCGGUUUCUUAAGUGUUUUGAUGGAAUCAUCCUCAUAAGAGAGCUACGAUGAAACCAACACUGUUCCUUUGAAUUUGUUAAGGAUAAACUUGGUUAACCCGAAGCCUUUCGGUACGACGCAGUCCGAGUUAAGGGCGUGGUCGACGAACACGCAUGUAACACUGUGGAACAGCGAAACCGUCGGUAAGACGACGAAAAUUCUAUGGGGAGAUCCGAACCAUCAGAAGACGAGGCUACUACUUAAAGGAAGUAAGAGGGAGGUCAGUAUAGCGGUAUUUCGGUAUCAUAACGGGACACAUAGGACUACGAACUCACUUAUGCAAAAUCGGUGCGGCAAGUGAUAGCAUGUGUAAAGGCGUAUGGAGGAUGAUGAGACUUUGGAGCAUUUUGUAUCUCAAUGCCCGGCUAACAGACACUGGCAUUUAGGUGGGAACACAAUACCAAACGUGAAUCAUAUUAGGGGCGGCUCAAUCUGGUACAUACAACCGGCUGCCAUGGGAUUGUGGAAAACAAUGGAUUUCGUAAGUAGCACGGAACUGCUGACUUAGAUUUUCGUUUUCGAGGUUACUUGUUAUUACUUAGAUCGCACAAAAAAUACGAUUUCUGGCUUAUCCUAAUAUCCGCACCGUCUUUUCAACCUAAAGCUUCUUCUACACGAACGCAAUCCCAUGGCAGCCGGUUCUACGUACCGGAUUUUCCCCAAGGAAUUCCUUCAUCGGCAAGGGCAGACGCCUCAGUGUACUUCAUACUCCUACAACAACAACUACACACUUUUUGUAUUCAUAAGACUUGUCUUAUGUACGUCAUAUACGAAUAGAGCGCGCUCUAAUCGGCAUGUAUUGUCAUAUGUUUUGCACUUUUUUUACACUCUACAGGCUUAAAAAAUUGAUAUUGAGCUGACAUUUGGCACAGAUACAUCUUUUUGAUGCACGCUGGUUAAGUUCUUGAACCGACCAAUUCGGACCAUAUUUGGAUAUAACUGCUAUAUAGACCGAUUUUCCGAUGAAGGGUCUAAUCCAAUUUCGCUGAAAUUUGAAACAGUGGGUUAUUUUAAGCCUCCCGACAUCUGACCUAAAUAUGAUUUAGAUCGGACAAUAUUUAGGUAUAGCUGCCAUAUAGACCGAUCUCCCGAUAAGGGUCUGAAGCCCAUAAAAGCUUUAUUUUUUAACCGAUUUCUCUGAAAUUUUAAAAAGUAAGUAGUUUCAAGCCUUUCAACAUCGGACUUAAAUAUGGUACAGAUCGGACUAUAUUUAGAUAUAGCUGUCAUAUAGACCGUAAGUGGCAUUCCACUAACCGCAACUGGAGGACGCGCCCGCUAGCCGGCCAGCUAAGCUUCUUGUGAUAACGAAGGACACCACAAAGAUUGGAGCUCCAGCCUGUGUGGUGCUCACAGUUAUCCCGUGCCGGGGUCUGUAGCUAUUAUGGUUUCAAAAUGGACCUAACUUAUCUAAGUGGGUAGGCUUCUUUUACCUAACCUAAUCUAAAAUACAAAUUCUGGAUAUGAACAAGGCUUCGACUGCAAUGAAAUACAUUAGCAUCGGUAAAGGGCCUUAAACAGGCCCUGAAAUGCCUACUUAGGAUGUUUUAUCUGACCUUUUCUAGGCCAAAGACUUUUCAGUGCUCAAUUAAAGUUUAAUAAAUAACGUAAUUAAUGCAACUAAAUAACGUUAAUGAUAAAAAAUUAUGUCCAUAUUUCGUUGACAUAACAAAUAUGUUUGAAAUUACAUCUUCAUAGAAAUCGAUUCAAUCGAAGCACAACACAACAUACCUG
This is a long non-coding RNA of Stomoxys calcitrans (stable fly), 2316 nucleotides long. RefSeq lists it as uncharacterized. The record is from RefSeq and is a predicted model, not a curated record. The transcript is spliced from 3 exons. NCBI's taxonomy places the organism in Eukaryota, Metazoa, Arthropoda, Insecta, Diptera, Muscidae.